Molecule: ribosomal RNA, 566 nt
Filed under: uncultured bacterium
Lineage: Bacteria
Description: partial 16S ribosomal RNA
Rfam family: Bacterial small subunit ribosomal RNA
Source: RNAcentral
UGGGGAAUAUUGCACAAUGGGCGCAAGCCUGAUGCAGCCAUGCCGCGUGUGUGAAGAAGGCCUUCGGGUUGUAAAGCACUUUCAGCGAGGAGGAAGGUGGUGAACUUAAUACGUUCAUCAAUUGACGUUACUCGCAGAAGAAGCACCGGCUAACUCCGUGCCAGCAGCCGCGGUAAUACGGAGGGUGCAAGCGUUGAUCGGAAUUACUGGGCGUAAAGCGCACGCAGGCGGUUUGUUAAGUCAGAUGUGAAAUCCCCGGGCUCAACCUGGGAACUGCAUUUGAAACUGGCAAGCUAGAGUCUCGUAGAGGGGGGUAGAAUUCCAGGUGUAGCGGUGAAAUGCGUAGAGAUCUGGAGGAAUACCGGUGGCGAAGGCGGCCCCCUGGACGAAGACUGACGCUCAGGUGCGAAAGCGUGGGGAGCAAACAGGAUUAGAUACCCUGGUAGUCCACGCUGUAAACGAUGUCGAUUUUGGAGGUUGUGCCCUUGAGGCGUGGCCUCCGGAGCUAACGCGUUAAAUCGACCGCCUGGGGAGUACGGCCGCAAGGUUAAAACUCAAAUGAAUUG